ACGGAAGGCAGCAGUGGGGAAUAUUGGUCAAUGGGCGAAAGCCUGAACCAGCCAAGUCGCGUGAAGGAUGAAGGUAUUAUGUAUUGUAAACUUCUUUAGCAGCAGAGUAAUAAGGGGGUCGUGACCCCCGAUGCAAGUAUGCUGAAAAUAAGGAUCGGCUAACUCCGUGCCAGCAGCCGCGGUAAUACGGAGGAUCCGAGCGUUAUCCGGAUUUAUUGGGUUUAAAGGGUGCGCAGGCGGUUUUUUAAGUCAGUGGUUAACUCGUGAGGCUCAACCUCAUCACGCCAUUGAUACUGGAAGACUUGAUUGCGGUUGAGGUUGGCGGAAUUCGUCGUGUAGCGGUGAAAUGCAUAGAUAUGACGAAGAACACCGAUUGCGUAGGCAGCUGACCAAGCCGUAAAUGACGCUCAUGCACGAAAGUGCGGGGAUCGAACAGGAUUAGAUACCCUGGUA
This 453-nucleotide ribosomal RNA is filed under the name uncultured Porphyromonadaceae bacterium. Its description in RNAcentral is "partial 16S ribosomal RNA". It matches the Rfam family "Bacterial small subunit ribosomal RNA", at positions 341 to 792 of the family's 1533-position model. Lineage: Bacteria; Pseudomonadati; Bacteroidota; Bacteroidia; Bacteroidales; Porphyromonadaceae. The record is from RNAcentral.